AGGACGAACGCUGGCGGCGUGCUUAACACAUGCAAGUCGAGCGGUAAGGCCCUUUGGGGUACACGAGCGGCGAACGGGUGAGUAACACGUGAGCAAUCUGCCCUUCACUUUGGGAUAACCUCCGGAAACGGUGGCUAAUACCGAAUGCGACUGCCGGCUGCAUGGUCUGGUGGUGGAAAGUUUUUGCGGUGGGGGAUGAGCUCGCGGCCUAUCAGCUUGUUGGUGAGGUAAUGGCUCACCAAGGCUUCGACGGGUAGCCGGCCUGAGAGGGUGACCGGCCACACUGGGACUGAGACACGGCCCAGACUCCUACGGGAGCAGCAGUGGGAAUAUUGGACAA
Molecule: ribosomal RNA, 340 nt
Filed under: uncultured soil bacterium
Lineage: Bacteria
Description: bacterial SSU rRNA
Rfam family: Bacterial small subunit ribosomal RNA
Source: RNAcentral